AGCGGCGCGAGUGCAGCUGUAAUGUGACUGUCUAAAAGCAACGACGCACACUAAAUAAUGGUUCAAAAGUCCCUCCACACUCCGUUGUCUGUUUCCAGGUGACAGUAACCAAGCAUUGAGGUGUCUGGCUCAUGUAAGAGAGAAACUAUCGAGGGCAUAUUUUGUCGAGAAAGGCAAGGGUCAAACAUGGGAGACGGGCAGCAUUGUGAGAGAAUGACGAUCCAGUCUUGAACUUGCAUAAGGAUUAGACGUUAAAGGACGCCGCAGCAAGGACUGUCGUUCAAAGGCAGGAGAAGGGAAGAACUGAUCCGAACUCAGAGGAUGCCAGUCAGACCCUCAACACCACACCACUCGGCCUCCGUUGCUGUUCCUGGGCAGAAUCAACUGAUAUCUAUCUAUCAAUCUAUCGAUGCCUCACAGGUAAAUUUAGCACCUCUUUUUGAGUGUCGCGUGUGCCAUAAAAUGCUCGUCAUAUUUGUAGCCCAUCAAGGAGUUCAUGUGUUACGUUGUUAUAGAUUAACCAAAUCAGUUCAUAUCUUUUGUCAUUUUCUUUGCUUCACGGGCGGUUUGAGGUGACUGGAGUUCUAGUUCCAGCAGGCAUAGUGUUUAUUUUAGUCAGCGUUACAGUCACUGAUUGUGCAGCAUUAAGUGACUGUAAAUAUUUUUGGUCCAGUUCUCGGUUGUACAGGCAAUGCUUAAUCAAUAUCGAGUACUGAAGCAGAGAGCAGAAAUUAAUUGUCUCACGAAAGACACAGACUAUGUACAUGUCUUGCACUGUAAGCACUACUGCAUUCAAAUUAGAGCAGUGUGUCAGCCAGCGGGACGCGGAGAUGUCAUCUCCGUCUUAUGUAAUGAGAGCUUCCAUCUUAACCUGGCAGAUCUGAUCCCAAUCCCUUAUUGUCUUUGCUUAAAUGAAUUGUGCUAAAUGCCAGUAGCUGCUGCUGGCAAAGGCGCUGAAGGUUAAGGACGGCCACCCUUAAAGCAUUCGUGAAUCUGAUCUUGUCCAUUAGCCCACAAGCAGAGGCAGAAAAUCAAUGGGAAACAAAAGAGGCAACCUCUUGGGGAGUCCUGGGAACAAGAGAAGACGAACACAAAUGGUGGAAAGAAUUGUGCGUGAAAGAAAUUUCCUCCAUCAAUUAGCGCGACUGCUAGCUUGUAGAAGUGUAAACAGAACUUGAGCCUGUAAGCGGCCAUUUCAAACUGCCACUCAUACUGACUAUCGUUGUUUCCAGAGCGGGAUGCUCCUAUAGAACAUCCAUCCGUUGAAUAUUCAUCUGCAGGCAGGUGCCUUCACAUCCAUAGGAGAGCAGAUAACGGUGAUAAAAAGACAAGCAAGCAGCUCAUUAGGUUUGUCCCUCCUUAAUAAAUGACUUCUUUGUGCUGAGGAGGAAACUUUACAUCGAAAGGGGAAAACAUUCUGGGCUUUGAAGUGUCUCUGGCAAGAUGUAUCAAAUUCUGGCAUGAUAUAUACAUGCUCCCAUAUGGCCAUAGUCUCAUGCUAUUUCAGACACAAUAGAUGAUGUCAGGCAGGAUUCAAUCACGCCGCUUCCCAUUUUACGUUCAACAUACUUCAUGGUGAUGUCGGUAAGUGGCGGCAUUAUGAAUUACAUUGCUCGGCUUCCGAGAUCAGGCGAGAAUGUCCGUUCUCAGGGUUGUGUGGCUUU
This is a long non-coding RNA of Hippocampus comes (tiger tail seahorse), 1664 nucleotides long. RefSeq lists it as uncharacterized. The record is from RefSeq and is a predicted model, not a curated record. Lineage: Eukaryota; Metazoa; Chordata; Actinopteri; Syngnathiformes; Syngnathidae. The transcript has 3 exons.